RNAcentral lists this ribosomal RNA (1429 nucleotides) under uncultured organism. RNAcentral's name for it is "16S ribosomal RNA". It matches the Rfam family "Bacterial small subunit ribosomal RNA". The record is from RNAcentral.
CUAGCUACAGGCUUAACACAUGCAAGUCGAGCGUCAGCAUGGUCUUAGCUUGCUAAGGCCGAUGGCGACCGGCGCACGGGUGAGUAACACGUAUCCAACCUGCCGUCUACUCUUGGACAGCCUUCUGAAAGGAAGAUUAAUACAAGAUGGCAUCAUGAGUCCGCAUGUUCACAUGAUUAAAGGUAUUCCGGUAGACGAUGGGGAUGCGUUCCAUUAGAUAGUAGGCGGGGUAACGGCCCACCUAGUCUUCGAUGGAUAGGGGUUCUGAGAGGAAGGUCCCCCACAUUGGAACUGAGACACGGUCCAAACUCCUACGGGAGGCAGCAGUGAGGAAUAUUGGUCAAUGGGCGAGAGCCUGAACCAGCCAAGUAGCGUGAAGGAUGACUGCCCUAUGGGUUGUAAACUUCUUUUAUAAAGGAAUAAAGUCGGGUAUGGAUACCCGUUUGCAUGUACUUUAUGAAUAAGGAUCGGCUAACUCCGUGCCAGCAGCCGCGGUAAUACGGAGGAUCCGAGCGUUAUCCGGAUUUAUUGGGUUUAAAGGGAGCGUAGAUGGAUGUUUAAGUCAGUUGUGAAAGUUUGCGGCUCAACCGUAAAAUUGCAGUUGAUACUGGAUAUCUUGAGUGCAGUUGAGGCAGGCGGAAUUCGUGGUGUAGCGGUGAAAUGCUUAGAUAUCACGAAGAACUCCGAUUGCGAAGGCAGCCUGCUAAGCUGCAACUGACAUUGAGGCUCGAAAGUGUGGGUAUCAAACAGGAUUAGAUACCCUGGUAGUCCACACGGUAAACGAUGAAUACUCGCUGUUUGCGAUAUACUGCAAGCGGCCAAGCGAAAGCGUUAAGUAUUCCACCUGGGGAGUACGCCGGCAACGGUGAAACUCAAAGGAAUUGACGGGGGCCCGCACAAGCGGAGGAACAUGUGGUUUAAUUCGAUGAUACGCGAGGAACCUUACCCGGGCUUAAAUUGCAGAUGAAUUACGGUGAAAGCCGUAAGCCGCAAGGCAUCUGUGAAGGUGCUGCAUGGUUGUCGUCAGCUCGUGCCGUGAGGUGUCGGCUUAAGUGCCAUAACGAGCGCAACCCUUGUUGUCAGUUACUAACAGGUUCCGCUGAGGACUCUGACAAGACUGCCAUCGUAAGAUGUGAGGAAGGUGGGGAUGACGUCAAAUCAGCACGGCCCUUACGUCCGGGGCUACACACGUGUUACAAUGGGGGGUACAGAGGGCCGCUACCACGCGAGUGGAUGCCAAUCCCCAAAACCUCUCUCAGUUCGGACUGGAGUCUGCAACCCGACUCCACGAAGCUGGAUUCGCUAGUAAUCGCGCAUCAGCCACGGCGCGGUGAAUACGUUCCCGGGCCUUGUACACACCGCCCGUCAAGCCAUGGGAGCCGGGGGUACCUGAAGUGCGUAACCGCGAGGAGCGCCCUAGGGUAAAACU